This is a long non-coding RNA of Mangifera indica (mango), 1251 nucleotides long. RefSeq lists it as uncharacterized. NCBI's taxonomy places the organism in Eukaryota, Viridiplantae, Streptophyta, Magnoliopsida, Sapindales, Anacardiaceae. The transcript is spliced from 3 exons. The record is from RefSeq and is a predicted model, not a curated record.
GGGGUGGGCAAAAAAAUUGGGUGGAGCCAAAACCUUAGGGUACUUGGUGUUGCGAUUCCAAUUUCUACUCAAAAUUAGAAUCCCUAGGUUAGGUUUUGAUUCUGAAACACAAUUUAGGUAGGCUUUGGUAUUACCAUUAUAAGGUCUCAAAAGCUACUGAGAUUUAUGGACUUUGACACAUUAUAGAGAAUCAAUUCGUGUAUCUAUGAGUACAAAACAUGUCAAAUAGAGGAUUAACAUUUUACCGAAAUGCAUAACCCUCCCCUGGGGUUUUCAAUGUGUGAGAUUAUACCAGGAGGCAGCUUGGGUAAUAAAAUGUUAAGUUUUUAAAAUGGGGAGUUUAGGUUUAAGUCUCUUAAACAUACCCAGGUGAGUGACACAGAAAGAAUGCCAUCGAUAACUUUUUUUUUUUUGGGAGGAAAGUCCAUUAGCAAAUCGAGGUGCAAGUUACUCUUCUUGUAAUUAGUUGUUUUUCAAGAAGAUGUGUUACGGGUUAAAGCUUACCAUAUUUUUGAAGUACAAAACAAGCAUAACUUCAAAGAUUUUUUGGCUUUCUCUUUGAAUGGGUGCCACAUAAAGAUUUGAGAUCUUUUGUAAUGUCUUGUGACUGACUUUUUAGCUGAAAUAUUUUGUACACUUUGCAUGACGCAAUUGUCAUGUUAUUCCACUUCUCCAUAAAAUUUGAUUGGAUGUGUCUUAUUUAUAUCACUUGAUGAUAGACACGUGUUUUAGGGCUAAUUUGGACAAUCACAAUUGAUUUUCACUUUGCCUUAAUGUGGCUGGCUAUAAAAAGAGAACUAGUUUGUUUUAGUUUCUCACAUCCUGAGUGUUUAUAAGCCUUAUGUGGCAUGAUAUUCCUGAUAGUUUGCUUUUGUUAGUUCAUUGGAGAAUCAUUCGCUCUGGUUUACGAAACAAUGAAUUGCUUAUGAAGGGAUCUCUAUAAACCUUAGAACAAAAAUAACAGGAAAUACGAGCUAGAAUUGAAAUUUUGACAUCUUUUUUGGUUAAGGAUUAAAGUUAUACAUCAAAACAUACAUUAUUAUAAUUGGAGAUUAUGAGGCAGAGCAUCUUUGAUGUUAGUUUUGAAUCGAAUGCUUCUACAACUUCUCACAUGAUGAGGCUUUCACUCAUUCACAUGGAGGUACCAAAAAACUAUAAGAUGAUGGUGAAGUGGGCAUAGACAAAUGCUAAUUCAUGUUGAAAAGUGAAUGAAAUUAUGUGUUUUUCUGAGGGAGGAGAGGAAAUACAAAA